AUAUAUAUAUAUACAUAUAUUUACAUAUAUAUAUACGUAUAUACAUAUAUAUAUAUAUAUAUUUUAUGAUUGUCGUUGUUGAAUUCGUCGCAUUACAUAGGGUUUUACCCCCGUCCAUCGCCGCAGUAGUAGACGUACUGGAUACGACGUAAUUGAGAAAAAGUACUUCGGAUUUUACGAGGUAAACGGAUGACGAGAGAAACCUAGGUUACCGCAGAAUCUUAGAUGAAAAUGGAUAAAGUAACAAAAUAUUAUAAAUAAUUAUACUAUUAUACAUUAUAUACAUAUAUUAUCUACAUACUUAUAUACAUAAAGGCGCAUAUAAAUAUGUAAAGGUCUAACGUUGUAUACGUCGGGAUGAGAGAGUCCGAGGAUAGGAUGAUUUUAUUACGGCAACGCUUUCUUUCGCUCGUGCGUACGGAUAUAUUUGAUAAUUGUCGCUCUUCUCUUAACCCUUUCUCUGCCCUUGAGUAUUCGCUCCACGCGCGCCAUAUAUCCCCGCGAUCGUUCCCUUCCAAAUUACACACCUUUUACAUCGGUGAGUGGAUCUUGAUCGCUUCCCCGAUACGAUGCGAGUAGAUGAAAAGAUCGUGUCGCGAUACUCUGCGCUUCGGGGACAGAAGGGCCGUUAGAUCAACGAUCUAAACUUAUUUCUCCGUUACUCGAUCUAUGGGUGGUAAACAGAAUAUUUUUACGAAACUAUCGUUCUAGCGACACGACCGUAGAAUAAUUUCAAAGCUACAUUGUUGAAUUACUAUUCACCGAUUGUUAUAUCAACGUUUAUCUAUUGUUUUUAUCGUACAAACGACGACGUAGAGAAUUAGAAGGAAAAGAAAUUUUUCUAAAGGAAAAGCGUGGAGUUGGAGAAUGACGACAGUACUAGGGUUAAAUUGGAACGUACAAAGGUCGAUUUUCUGUUUUUCGCGGAUAUUUAGGAUACGUGCGAUUAGACGAAACCAGCCUAGUACGUAUAUAUAUACAUGUAUAUGUAUAUGUAGAUGUAUCUAUAUAUACGUGUAUAUAUAUACACAUACACACGCACACAAGCAUAUAUAUGUAUGUAUAUAUAUAUAUAUAUAUAUAUUAUAUACACUUUCACAUAUACACAGGCGUACACGUACAACACACCACACAUACACAAAUAUACACAUAUGUAUAAAUAUAAAUAUGAAUUUUACUACGGAUUGCAGCGUGCACGUGCAAUUUGAUCGGGAAACAACGAGGUCUCGAUAAGCGUUCGAUUUGACGAUUUUUGUGAUACCUGUCAAAUAUGUAAACGGCAAAUCGAUCUUCUCGAUAGACGACCACGCUUUUCGUUUGUCUCAGUCACGAUGUAAUUUCGUACGGAUACCGGUACGAGAGUAUUCUCAACGGAGACAAGACAAAUGCUGCACCAACGACCAUAUUAUUUACACCUCACGCAGGAUGAUUUUCGGCUUAUAUCUAGAGAAAUCGCUGAUCGCGUGCGAGUUGAACGUUAACGAGGAUAUUACAUGCAAGAUAAAAAAAAAAAAGAAAAAAGGAAAAAAAAUCAGUACAGUGAAUAUCUCGCAGGAAGAUAAAUAAAUAAAUGAAAAUAUAACAGGCUGAUGUUAAAGAGUAAUGUCGCGGUAGAACCGAUAGCGAACGAACAUUUAGGAUCGGUAAUUGAACGUAGCCGAUUACAACGUUUUCCUUUCUUCUGUCUUGUUCGAUCGUAAAAACAUAUUUCACGUUAUCUCGUCGAUUACAAUCGAAAUUACACGAUUUGUUCUUUUAUUCGAAAUAUCGAAAUCUUGGAGUCUGUUACAGUUCGCUGGGGGAUUUUAAUUAAACGUCGUGCGGUGAUCGUUAACGAAAAUUGGUGAUCGGCCGAAUCAACGAUCGAUCGGAUGCUCGACUUUCGUUCGACGUGUCGGUGCUAUCGCGACCGAUAACGCGUGCAAUAAAACAGAAUAUGUAAACAAUAUUAAUAUCAUUAUAUACAACAUUUUUACGGCAUAUACGAAUACGAUGUAGAGAAAACAAGUGAAAACAAGUUUAGGAUAAUAUUACUUGUUGUUGUCUACCAUAGCGUUGUAGUUAUAUACAAUACAGGUAGGAAAUUAUAGGCAAGCCGAAGCGAAUGAGAGGGAGAACGAGUGCGAGAGUGUAAUGGAACUGAGAGUAAACGCGUAUGAACGAUGUACGAGUGUGUGUUAGAGAAAGAGAAAGAAAGAAGGAGAGAAAGAGAUGCGAAUGAGACGAGAGAAAAAGAGAGGAGAAAAUUUGAUGCAAUUGACGAGCGUACAUGUUAUUAUUACGUAAUAGCAACUAUAUAUAUAUUCACAUAUAUAUGUAUUGUACAUAUACCUAUGUGUAUAUAUAUACAUACUCGAGAAAGCUGCUUACUUGAAAGCAACCAACAACCAACAGAAGAAAACAAAAAAAUCAAUGAUUAACAUUAUAUACAGAAGUCUAUACAUAUAAACUUUAAAGAACGUGUGCCUAUGUGCGCACGUGCGUACGCGCGCGUACGUGCGGACACUCGACAACCCCGAAUCCACCCGAUUCCCACCUCCUGCCCAACCAACCACCCUCCUCUGCAGCCUCUCUCUCCUUCCUCCACUCUCACAUCCAUCUAUCCCCCUCUCUGCCCCUUCACCCUCAUCUGUCCAUCCAUCCAUCCAUCUAUCCAUCCAUCUAUCCCUUCUCCCCCUCCCCUUCAUCCUUUCUCUUCCUGUCUUUCUGUGUCUCCCUCCAUUCUACUUCACACGCACUUGCGCACAUAUCCAUGACGCAUUACCGUAGCCGUGUUGUGUAGGGAAUGUCUUUAACGAAUAAGAUACGAUUUCUCAUGUUACAUGUUAUAAGAAGCAAAAAAAAAGAAAAAAAAAAACGAAGCAGCAAAAGUAACUCAAAAAAGAAAAAAAAAAGAUAAUAACGAGACAAAUCUCUUCUCCGGUCAGUUGCAGGAUCGCUCGAACGUUGUCGAAUCAAUAAUCCUGUAGACGAUUCCGUGUUGUGUCGGAAAAAAAGAAAGAAAGAAAGAAAAGAAAAGAAAGAAGCAGAGAAAAAAUAGAGAAAAGAGGAAAGGAAGAAAGGAAUACGUGACACGAGAGAAAAGGCGAAGGGAACUUUCGUUGAGGAAUCCGACCCACUUGCUAUGCCACAGCCAAUGAUCGUGCUUUUCUCGUCGCAACAGAAAAAUCUACAAGUCGAUUAACAAACCGGCCGAAAUAUGAGAAAAUGAAAAUGCGAUUGAAGAUGCCAUCGGGAUAGGUUGACGCGUUCAAUCGUUCAUCAUUCCGUUUCGUUGCCACCCUCUUGAAAUUAAAGAUUUUUUCGUUUAAAAUGAAAUUACAAAAAGUUAGAGUAUGUUAGUUGUUUCAUUUUGCGUUGAAAGACGAAACGAUUACCAAAAUGCAUACUCGAUGUUUCGUUAUUCUGUUCGUUUGAGACGUCAGUCUAUAAAAGUAUGUAUGUAUUUCUCUAAUGAAGAAUGCCAUCACGCAAAGGUGCAUGUAGAAUGUACAUACAUAUCUUUAGGAAAGUUCCUUUGAAAUCACUUUUCAAGUUCUUAAAGUUGCUUUCUCUUGUUCCAUCGCUACGAUUAUAUCACUUCCCUUGCUUAUUGAAAAAUAUUUAACACUUUGUACUUUGAUCUAUCUACGAUUCGUGCUUCAGGUUUUUUCCAUUUACAAAUUGGACGAUGAAAAACUAGAAAAAGUAUUCCAUUAUUUUGCUUAAUAGAGCUAAUCGAGUAUGACAUUCCAGUCUAUGAUAUUUUCUUGGAUAUUUUUAUUUUUUCGUCCUAAAGUAUUAGCCUUAAAAAUUAAAAAAUAUCGUGCUAUCGGGAUAAUUGCGAUCGAAACGUCAGCAUAUGGCAUAAGAAGUUGAAAAAGAGACGAGAGGAUGCACGAUCCGCGAACAAUGAAUCGGAUAUGCGGGUCAACGAUGUUAGCCAGCGUUGUGACCAGUUUUUCCUUAUACUUAACUUUGACCGAGAGAGUCCUCACGGCACGGCGUAGAUGGAAAAGUCGGGCGGUGGGUUAUCGAUCAUUAAGAAUCAGAUAUAUAUGCAUUAUUCCGUACCAAGUACGGCUAGAGCUAUCGAGUAAUUUAAUAUAGAAUUAAAACAGUCAACUGUAUCGCGAUUAACGGAGCACGAACGAAGAAAGGCCUGCAUCGACCAUCUUUCCUCCACACUUUUAACCCGAUUUCCCGUUCCUUCCAAAAAAAAACCCAGUUCCCGUUAUUCUAAUAUUCCUGCCUCCCUCUAACCCUCAACAAAAACAAGAUAACAUAUUGUAAUCUAUUGUAGAUUGUUGUAGAUAAAUUAUACGGUUUGACCGUACAUUGUUACUUUUUGUCGACAAUAUAAAAUACACAGAUAUAUAAGUAA
Molecule: long non-coding RNA, 4363 nt
Organism: Bombus impatiens (common eastern bumble bee)
Lineage: Eukaryota; Metazoa; Arthropoda; Insecta; Hymenoptera; Apidae
Exons: 2
Source: RefSeq, a predicted model, not a curated record